RNAcentral lists this long non-coding RNA (1278 nucleotides) under Lynx pardinus (Iberian lynx). The record is from RNAcentral. Lineage: Eukaryota; Metazoa; Chordata; Mammalia; Carnivora; Felidae.
CAGGAGAGGACGCUUCGGUGCGGGGUGGGGAGGGGGGCAGCGUGGUCUCCACGUGGAGAGAGAGACUGCGCCUCGGAUAAAGAGUCAAGCAGAGACGAGAUUCCCCCCCUUUCUUGACUUAAAAAUGGCAUUGAAAAAAGGAAUCAACUAGUAGAAAGAAAACAGAAAUGCCCCCUAACACAAGACCCAGAAAACCCUUCUGACAGCAAGACCGUAAUCCGUGCUUUUCAAAUCUAUUACACCGAUCCUACGUCUUCCCCGCCGCAGACACGGAAACCUGUCCCCAAAUAGCCCGGCGGCAGCACCCGCCAUCCACUGACCAGCAUCGACAAGAAGGGAAGCCCCCGGCCGGACCGUAGAGACGCAGGGUCCCCGCUGUCCCCAGACCUCGCGGGCAGCUUGGCACACAGCGCGUCCUUCGUAAAAACGAGCUUCGGUGAUUCUGAUUCCGUUCUCGCCUAGGUCCGAACCAUUUCUUUGCUCAUAGAAGAAGGCAUUUUCCUGCUCUCCGGGUCCCGGGGGGACAUUAUUGGGGUAGGUUCACGGGUCGGUGGUGUUGAGAGCCAAGUAGUAAGGAGUCCAGGAGAUGAUGGAAUACAGAGAACUGGAAAAGCAUAAAGCAGGAACCUGCAGAGUGGGAACGGAAGGUCUGAAGCACAGGAGCAAACUAACGGCAUCGAGGUCAAGUCAAGUCAACCUAAACUCUGAGGGUAGGUACUGCCCCCCACCCCGCCCCGUAAUAAGCACCUUUUGUUCAGAUCACAAAGUAUAUCUUCCCUACACGUGUGGAUAGAAAACGUGUACAGGUAAGAAAGCAAUAAUAAGCACUCGUGUGCCCACCACCCAGGCCAAGAGAUAGAACGUGACCGUCCUCGGAAGCCACUCUGUGCCCUCCCCGAUUGAACCCCCCCUCAGCGGUAACCACUGUCCUGCAGUUGGAAUUAUUCUGUUUUCUUCCAGUCGCCACAACCUACGUGUCCCUGUGUUGGAACAGGGAAGGAUGGAAGGGAACAGGGAACCUAGAAGAGUACUGUGUGUUUACAAAAAAAGUAGGGCUCCUGCUGGCUCCGGGGGCUAACUAAGCGUCUGGCUUUUGACUCGGGUCCAGGUCAUGAUGUCACAGUUCGCGGGCUAGAGCCCCGCAUCGGGCUCUGUGCUGACAGCACGGAGCCCGGAGCCUGCUUCGGAUUCUGUGUCUCCCUCUCUCCCUGCUCUUUCCCUGCUCACACUCUGUCUCUGUCUCUGUCUCUCUCAAAAAUAAAGGUUAAACAAAUAAAG